Molecule: ribosomal RNA, 252 nt
Filed under: Triticum aestivum (bread wheat)
Lineage: Eukaryota; Viridiplantae; Streptophyta; Magnoliopsida; Poales; Poaceae
Description: partial small subunit ribosomal RNA
Source: RNAcentral
AUGAAUAUGCGAUCAGAACACAUAUGGGUAGAACUUCUAAAAGGUUCUCGAAAAAGGGGUAAUUUUUUCUGGGCCUGUAUUCUUUUUCUAGGUUCACUAGGAUUCUUAUCGGUUGGGAUUUUCAAUUAUCUUGGUAAGAAUAUUAUAUCUAUACUUUCAUCUCAAGAAAUUCUUUUUUUUUCCGCAGGGAACUUUGACACCUCUAUAUUUUAUUGUAAUGACAACAUAUACUUGGGUAACUUCAUUUCUUAA